ACACCCGUAGCUCAACUGGACAGAGUGUUGGCUUGCGGAGCCAGAGGUCGGGGUUCAAGUCCUCGCGGGUGUG
RNAcentral lists this transfer RNA (73 nucleotides) under Deltaproteobacteria bacterium. RNAcentral describes it as "tRNA-Arg". It matches the Rfam family "tRNA". From Rfam's summary of the family: Transfer RNA (tRNA) molecules are approximately 80 nucleotides in length. Their secondary structure includes four short double-helical elements and three loops (D, anti-codon, and T loops). The record is from RNAcentral. Lineage: Bacteria; Pseudomonadati; Myxococcota; Myxococcia.